UAUGCUACAAUAAGACUGUUGCUCAGCAACCCUUGGUGCUUAGUUCCCUUUCACCAAGCAUAUUAGACACGUCGUUUUGAGUUAAAAACAGACGUCAAAGGAGAAAAAUG
This is a non-coding RNA of Streptococcus iniae, 110 nucleotides long. The record is from Rfam. Lineage: Bacteria; Bacillati; Bacillota; Bacilli; Lactobacillales; Streptococcaceae.